GGCCUCCCUGUGCCACAUCAGAUGAAGAGAGGAAGGCAGAGAAUUUCCAGGACUUCUUACGCUAAAAAUAUGUAACAACAAAUUCUGGCACAUCUGAUGGAUAAUGGGAAUUUUGGUGUCCACAUUCCUGGAAUUUCCAGCAAAGGUGUUAGAAACCUUUGAAAUGCUUAUCAGACUGGCUGAGAAUUACACAAGCACACUUUUCUGCACUGCAUAUAGAAACAUGGCUGCUGAGGCUACUGUGCGUGUUCAGGAGUUUUUCACUGAUGUUGGACUCUUCGUAUUUGGCACAGACAUUAGCACAGAGGAAUUUGUGAAUAGAUUUUUUGACACCCUGUUUCCAGUAGUCUACAGCCACGUGAUUAACCCUGGUCUGACUGACAUUUCACUGGAAUAUGCAGAGUGUCUACGAACGGCGAGAAGAGACAUCAGGCCCUUUGGCAGCGUUCCCAAAAAGGCCAUAAGUCAAAUGGGAAGAUCCCUCUUAUCCAGCCGGACUUUCUUGCAGGCUCUGAAUUUGGGGAUUGAAGUGAUCAAUACAACGGAUCACCUGCAUUUCUCCAAAGACUGCAGCAGAGCUUUACUGAGAAUGCAGUACUGCCCCCACUGCCAGGGACUGAUGAUGAGUAAGCCCUGCAUGGGCUACUGCCUCAACAUCAUCCGGGGCUGCUUAGCCAACACAGCAGAAAUUGAUCUUCAUUGGCGGGGAUAUAUUCAGUCCCUGGAGGAGCUCUCAAGCGCCAUGAGUGGAACACACGACGUUGAGCACGUGCUUCUCAACUUUCAUUCGCUUGUUAAUGAUGCUCUGGUACAGGCUCAUACCCAUGGGCCAGAGUUAUCUGAGCAGGUUAAAAAGAUAUGUGGUCCUCCUGUAAGGAAGCCUACGCAGUCUCCAGGUUGCUCCUUUGAUCAGAACAAAGAUAAUCAAGUGUUGAAGAUGUUCUCAAGAGACAGUGAAGAAACACUCACCAAUAGAAGAAAUAUGUAGCGAAUUGAGGUGACUGCAAAGGCUUGGAGAUUUCAUCUAGUGCAGCACUGCAGGGUGAAAUUUGCCUAACUGCUUACGAGCUAGGUGUUUAAGCUGCUGUUGUAGUUUGUGGAAAUGAGAACUCAUUUCAGCUGCCCAUGCAUCUACAAGCAUCCAGUGCCACUCAAGGACAUGCUGGGGUAUCCCAAAUGAUCUGCUUCUGCCAGGAAGGAUGCAGGUAUCCUGGAAUUUAUCAGACACCUGCGGCUCUACAGAGCCUUUUACGGUGGCCUGGCUGAUCACUUGUGCAGUAGCGAGUUGGCGGCUGCAGAUGGAC
This is an RNA transcript of Empidonax traillii (willow flycatcher), 1304 nucleotides long. It is a transcript of the gene named glypican 5, with no coding region annotated. Lineage: Eukaryota; Metazoa; Chordata; Aves; Passeriformes; Tyrannidae. The transcript is spliced from 5 exons. The record is from RefSeq and is a predicted model, not a curated record.